RNAcentral lists this transfer RNA (72 nucleotides) under Nippostrongylus brasiliensis. It matches the Rfam family "tRNA". Rfam says of the family: Transfer RNA (tRNA) molecules are approximately 80 nucleotides in length. The record is from Rfam by way of RNAcentral. Lineage: Eukaryota; Metazoa; Nematoda; Chromadorea; Rhabditida; Heligmosomidae.
ACAUCGGUAGCGCAAUGGUCAGUGCAGUCUGCCGGAAACGGAACAACGCGGGUUCAAUUCCCGUCCGAUGUC